Sycon ciliatum is the source of this 2155-nucleotide long non-coding RNA. RefSeq lists it as uncharacterized. The transcript has 2 exons. The record is from RefSeq and is a predicted model, not a curated record. NCBI's taxonomy places the organism in Eukaryota, Metazoa, Porifera, Calcarea, Leucosolenida, Sycettidae.
UGGACCACGCUGGUUAGUGUUGUUAGCCAUGGCCCACUUGUGGCGGUCCGGUUGCCUAGCAAAAUCAGCGUGUAGAGCGCGACGGAGUGCCAGCAACGAUAAACAGGUUAGUUGAUGGGCAACCUGGACAGUAGGAAAAGAUCGACAGGUCUGGUGGCUGACAACUUACUUCUGUGAUUGACAAUCAUCUGACAGAUUUCGCACCUCGCAGGCUCGUGUAGGCACUCCCCGUAAGAGGAUAGAUAGAGCUAGAGCCAGUAGAGGCUAGCACCAAUAUAGCCCAGUACUAGUAGCAGUAGUAACAGAGCGUUUCCAGGUCCAUCGCAAUGUCAACACACUACUGGCCAUUGACACUCGACGCAGCGCAGGGCCACGGCAAGAGCCACUAUGACACUUUCGCAGUCACCGGUAACCGUAUUCGACCCCUGAUUCUUGCUUUCUGUGAUCAAAGCUACGCACAUGUAAUAAUAAUAUGAUACACACAUGUGAUCUGCUAGGGGAGCGGGUCUUCGCUUCCGAUAUAAAAGCACUGCCCAGUCUCGGCGGGGACCAUAGCCAACCUCAGUGCCGUUCUCAGAUGGAUUUACCACGUCUUCGCGCUCGUGUCUCACAAGUUAGCUGGCUGGAGCCACCGGAAAGUCUGAACGCGUUGCAUUGACUUGGUGUGAGAUGCGCAAGCCUGAGUAACGAAGUAAAUGUUCCUGGCAUGCAACAUCAUUGAUCGCAGCUAUUCCUUUCCCCUUGUCAGACCAAACGUGGACGAAAAUGACACUAAUAUGUCGCUAUUUGCCGCCACUUUCAGCCAAUGUGGUCAGCACUUGGAUACUUGUUAUCACGUGCUCGUGUACCUAUUCAUUCUGGCCUCAGUUAGCACUGGCUCAGGCGGAAUGGCCCGUGCAAGCUUCGAACGGAGUGCAGGGUGGGGCCGGUGCACAAACUGAAGACCACGCGAUCCACGUGCGGCGACAGGGCUCAGACCUCCAUUCCAGAGCAGGAUUGGCACGGACAAGGCCCCGAGUCGUCAUGUUUCCCAACCGCGUCACUCUGAAGUGCCCCGUGCAGCAAGCGGCAUGCGCAAACGAGACCAGCAAGGGGCUAUGCAAUGGCAUUGUGUGGAUGGUGAAGACAAAAGCGUCGAAUGAUGCACCCCAGCCAGUGACGGCAGUAUUUCCGCCCCGCCGAUUAUCAGCCAAGCGCAAACGGCUUGUCAUCAAGCGCUUCCUGGCAAAAUUCAGCGGGCGGUACUGGUGCAAAGUCGGGGAUCAGUUGAUACAAACCUGGGACGUGACCCGGAUGAAGCACAACAACAGCAUUGUUAUUCAACGGGUAGACUACCCCGGGACACCCCCGGUCACUGAACCACCUCCUCGUCCGGUGCCCCUGCGCUUCACCGUCCGGCCCGGAAGUCUGCACCUGGUGCGCCCCGGGGAGCGUGUACUCAUGCGCUGCAGUGCAAGUGGUCACCCACGCCCACACAUCACGUGGCUGCGCGGAUUUCGUGUGAUAAGCAAACGGCAGGGGCGCAUCAGAGUCAACAAGGACAACUGUCUGGAGUUCGCGAGUGUGGAGAGAGACGACGAAGAUACGUAUCGAUGCGUUGUUGAGAACAGAAUGGAACUCCUCUCCAGCACCGCUCAACUCUACGUUGUGUAGCGAUGGCAGACGGAGUCUAACUCCGAUCACAUCAGGGUCACACUGUCCAAGAAACUCAAAGCCUGGCAAAGACACACAGGACAGUGAGUUGCCGAGUGGCCCUCAUGCAAACCCCUGGAGCCAAUAAGCUGAUUCUCCGGGCAUCAGAACACUAUCGCUAUCAACAAGGAUAGAUCACUUGCGCAUCCGUGCCAACAAUUCUGCAGUUAGCCGACCCAAGAUCAUCCUAUAUAAUGACAAUCGGCCAAGUGAGCUUGCCACUGAAACUGCACCGACUGAACACACAUACCACUGACCCUCUCCUCAAAAUCCUGGACAUCUUGUCACUACUUGUCAUAAGCGUGACAAUUGCUAUGGAAACAUGCAGCAUUGAACAUUGAAACAGCUAAACCUGUUUUAAAUACAUGUACGUCACAGUUGAAUGUGUCACAUGACAUGAGAUUUAUGCAUGUUAGCAUGUUUGUCACGAAUUGUUUAAAAAAAGAAAAUUUAGGUAGCAGGA